Molecule: small nuclear RNA, 100 nt
Filed under: Jaculus jaculus (lesser Egyptian jerboa)
Lineage: Eukaryota; Metazoa; Chordata; Mammalia; Rodentia; Dipodidae
Source: RNAcentral
GUGCUCGCUUCGGCAGCACGUACACUAAAAUUGGAACAAUACAGAGAAGAUUAGCAGGCCCCUGUGCAAGGAUGACAUGCAAAAUUAAAGAGAGACUAAU